This 253-nucleotide ribosomal RNA is filed under the name uncultured bacterium. RNAcentral's name for it is "partial 16S ribosomal RNA". It matches the Rfam family "Archaeal small subunit ribosomal RNA", at positions 474 to 727 of the family's 1478-position model. The record is from RNAcentral.
UACCAGCACCCCGAGCGGUCGGGACGAUUAUUGGGCCUAAAGCAUCCGUAGCCGGUUCUACAAGUCUUCCGUUAAAUCCACCUGCUUAACAGAUGGGCUGCGGAGGAUACUAUAGAGCUAGGAGGCGGGAGAGGCAAGCGGUACUUAGUGGGUAGGGGUAAAAUCCGUUGAUCCAUUGAAGACCACCAGUGGCGAAGGCGGCUUGCCAGAACGCACUCGACGGUGAGGGAUGAAAGCUGGGGGAGCAAACCGG